RNAcentral lists this transfer RNA (73 nucleotides) under Euhalothece natronophila Z-M001. It matches the Rfam family "tRNA". Rfam says of the family: Transfer RNA (tRNA) molecules are approximately 80 nucleotides in length. Their secondary structure includes four short double-helical elements and three loops (D, anti-codon, and T loops). Further hydrogen bonds mediate the characteristic L-shaped molecular structure. tRNAs have two regions of fundamental functional importance: the anti-codon, which is responsible for specific mRNA codon recognition, and the 3' end, to which the tRNAs corresponding amino acid is attached (by aminoacyl-tRNA synthetases). tRNAs cope with the degeneracy of the genetic code in two manners: having more than one tRNA (with a specific anti-codon) for a particular amino acid; and 'wobble' base-pairing, i.e. permitting non-standard base-pairing at the 3rd anti-codon position. RNAcentral also lists the same sequence under 1 other name. Lineage: Bacteria; Bacillati; Cyanobacteriota; Cyanophyceae; Chroococcales; Halothecacae. The record is from Rfam by way of RNAcentral.
GGGGGUAUAGCUCAGCUGGUAGAGCACCUGCCUUGCACGCAGGGAGUCAGCGGUUCGAGUCCGCUUACCUCCA